RNAcentral lists this unclassified non-coding RNA (650 nucleotides) under Hevea brasiliensis (rubber tree). The record is from RNAcentral. Lineage: Eukaryota; Viridiplantae; Streptophyta; Magnoliopsida; Malpighiales; Euphorbiaceae.
UUGGAGCAAACUAGAGAAGAGGUUGUGAUGGUUAUAGUUAACAGGCUAGAUGUUGCUGUUUUGGACUCAAACUGGACUUGCGUUCAAAGCCAGGUUUCUCCCGAACUGGAGCAUGAUAGAAACAAGAUUUUUACUGGGAGGCAUCGUGUCCAUUGGAAGGCUUCUGUUCCUGCCUUGGGGUUGCAAACAUAUUAUAUUGCCAAUGGUUUUGCCGGAUGUGAAAAAGCCAUACCAGCUAAAUUGAAGUACUUCUCAACGUCAAAUUCAUUUUCGUGCCCCACUCCAUAUGUUUGCUCUAAAGUAGAAGGUGACAUGGCUGAAAUCCAGACUCAACAUCAAACUCUCACCUUUGAUGUCAAGCUCGGUUUGUUACAGAAAAUUAGCCAUAACAAUGGUUCCAAGAUUGUUGUGGGUGAGGAAAUAGGUAUGUACACUAGUCCAGGAAGUGGGGCCUACCUGUUUAAACCUGAGGGGGAUGCUCAGCCUAUUGUUGAGGCAGGGGGGAACAUGGUGAUCUCCGAAGGCCCACUAAUGCAGGAAGUGUUCGUUUAUCCUAAAACAGCUUGGGAACAGACGCCCAUCUCCCACAGUACUAGAAUUUAUAACGGAGAUGGUACUAUUCAAGAGUUUCUCAUUGAGAAAGAAUAUCA